GACGAACGCUGGCGGCGUGCUUAACACAUGCAAGUCGAACGAUGAAGCCUUCGGGUGGAUUAGUGGCGAACGGGUGAGUAACACGUGGGUGAUCUGCCCUGCACUUUGGGAUAAGCCUGGGAAACUGGGUCUAAUACCGAAUAUGAUCAUGCUCUUCAUGGGGUGUGGUGGAAAGCUUUUGCGGUGUGGGAUGGGCCCGCGGCCUAUCAGCUUGUUGGUGGGGUAAUGGCCUACCAAGGCGACGACGGGUAGCCGGCCUGAGAGGGUGACCGGCCACACAGGGACUGAGAUACGGCCCAGACUCCUACGGGAGGCAGCAGUGGGGAAUAUUGCACAAUGGGCGCAAGCCUGAUGCAGCGACGCCGCGUGAGGGAUGACGGCCCUCGGGUUGUAAACCUCUUUCAGCAGGGACGAAGCGAAAGUGACGGUACCUGCAGAAGAAGGACCGGCCAACUACGUGCCAGCAGCCGCGGUAA
Molecule: ribosomal RNA, 476 nt
Filed under: uncultured bacterium
Lineage: Bacteria
Description: partial 16S ribosomal RNA
Rfam family: Bacterial small subunit ribosomal RNA
Source: RNAcentral